RNAcentral lists this ribosomal RNA (256 nucleotides) under Streptomyces sp. ISOM527_OTU243. Its description in RNAcentral is "partial 16S ribosomal RNA". It matches the Rfam family "Bacterial small subunit ribosomal RNA", at positions 29 to 289 of the family's 1533-position model. The record is from RNAcentral. Lineage: Bacteria; Bacillati; Actinomycetota; Actinomycetes; Kitasatosporales; Streptomycetaceae.
ACGAACGCUGGCGGCGUGCUUAACACAUGCAAGUCGAACGAUGAAGCCCUUCGGGGUGGAUUAGUGGCGAACGGGUGAGUAACACGUGGGCAAUCUGCCCUUCACUCUGGGACAAGCCCUGGAAACGGGGUCUAAUACCGGAUAACACUCUGUCCCGCAUGGGANGGGGUUAAAAGCUCCGGCGGUGAAGGAUGAGCCCGCGGCCUAUCAGCUUGUUGGUGGGGUGAUGGCCUACCAAGGCGACGACGGGUAGCCG